CCUUACUGUAUGUAUGCUAAGCCAUUUUCCUGUCUAAAACACUUCUCAUAUGUCUUGGGAGUCAAACUGUGAAGAAAUAAUCAUUAUAACUUAUACAGUUGACAAAAUACAUACAU
Sander lucioperca (pikeperch) is the source of this 116-nucleotide long non-coding RNA. RefSeq lists it as uncharacterized. NCBI's taxonomy places the organism in Eukaryota, Metazoa, Chordata, Actinopteri, Perciformes, Percidae. The record is from RefSeq and is a predicted model, not a curated record. The transcript has 3 exons.